CCAAUAGCGUAUAUUAAAGUUGUUGCAGUUAAAAAGCUCGUAGUUGAACUUCGGGGUCUACCCAUUGGUCAGGCUUAAUUGUCUGUACUGGUGAGAUGGAUCUCUACCUUCUGAGGAACUUUCAUGCCAUUUAUUUGGUGUGGUUGGAAAUCAGGACUGUUACUUUGAAAAAAUUAGAGUGUUUAAAGCAGACUAUCGUCUGAAUACAUUAGCAUGGAAUAAUGAAAUAGGACGGACUGAUUCUAUUUCGUUGGUUUCUAGGAUCACCGUAAUGAUUAAUAGGGAUAGUUGGGGGCAUUAGUAUUCAAUUGUCAGAGGUGAAAUUCUUGGAUUUAUUGAAGACUAACUACUGCGAAAGCAUUUGCCAAGGAUGUUUUCAUUAAUCAAGAACGAAAGUUAGGGGAUCGAAGACGAUCAGAUACCGUCGUAGUCUUAACCAUAAACUAUGCCGACUAGGGAUCGGACGAAGUUAAUUUUAUAAUGACGCGUUCGGCACCUUACG
Molecule: small RNA, 502 nt
Filed under: uncultured Glomeromycotina
Lineage: Eukaryota; Fungi; Glomeromycota
Also listed under: 1 other name
Description: SSU rRNA
Rfam family: Eukaryotic small subunit ribosomal RNA
Source: RNAcentral